Molecule: ribosomal RNA, 497 nt
Filed under: uncultured bacterium
Lineage: Bacteria
Description: partial 16S ribosomal RNA
Rfam family: Bacterial small subunit ribosomal RNA
Source: RNAcentral
GAUGAACGCUGGCGGUGUGCCUAAUACAUGCAAGUCGAGCGAACAGACGAGGAGCUUACUCCUCUGACGUUAGCGGCGGACGGGUGAGUAACACGUGGAUAACCUACCUAUAAGACUGGGAUAACUUCGGGAAACCGGAGCUAAUACCGGAUAACAUGUUGAACCGCAUGGUUCAACAGUGAAAGACGGUCUUGCUGUCACUUAUAGAUGGAUCCGCGUCGCAUUAGCUAGCUGGUAAGGUAACGGCUUACCAAGGCAACGAUGCGUAGCCGACCUGAGAGGGUGAUCGGCCACACUGGAACUGAGACACGGUCCAGACUCCUACGGGAGGCAGCAGUAGGGAAUCUUCCGCAAUGGGCGAAAGCCUGACGGAGCAACGCCGCGUGAGUGAAGAAGGUCUUCGGAUCGUAAAACUCUGUUAUUAGGGAAGAACAAAUGUGUAAGUAACUAUGCACGUCUUGACGGUACCUAAUCAGAAAGCCACGGCUAACUACGUG